This 518-nucleotide ribosomal RNA is filed under the name Pediococcus parvulus. RNAcentral's name for it is "bacterial SSU rRNA". It matches the Rfam family "Bacterial small subunit ribosomal RNA", at positions 32 to 503 of the family's 1533-position model. The record is from RNAcentral. Lineage: Bacteria; Bacillati; Bacillota; Bacilli; Lactobacillales; Lactobacillaceae.
AACGCUGGCGGCGUGCCUAAUACAUGCAAGUCGAACGCACUUUCGUUGAAUGAAUUAGAGGUGCUUGCACCGAAGAUGAUUUUAGCUAUAAAGUGAGUGGCGAACGGGUGAGUAACACGUGGGUAACCUGCCCAGAAGUGGGGGAUAACACCUGGAAACAGAUGCUAAUACCGCAUAACAAAGUAAACCGCAUGGUUUACUUUUAAAAGAUGGCUUCGGCUAUCACUUCUGGAUGGACCCGCGGCGUAUUAGCUAGUUGGUGAGAUAAAGGCUCACCAAGGCAGUGAUACGUAGCCGACCUGAGAGGGUAAUCGGCCACAUUGGGACUGAGACACGGCCCAGACUCCUACGGGAGGCAGCAGUAGGGAAUCUUCCACAAUGGACGAAAGUCUGAUGGAGCAACGCCGCGUGAGUGAUGAAGGCUUUAGGGUCGUAAAACUCUGUUGUUGGAGAAGAACGUGUGUGAGAGUAACUGCUCAUGCAGUGACGGUAUCCAACCAGAAAGCCACGGCUAACUA